GAUGAACGCUGGCGGCGUGCCUAAUACAUGCAAGUCGAGCGAACAGACGAGGAGCUUGCUCCUCUGAUGUUAGCGGCGGACGGGUGAGUAACACGUGGAUAACCUACCUAUAAGACUGGGAUAACUUCGGGAAACCGGAGCUAAUACCGGAUAACAUGUUGAACCGCAUGGUUCAACAGUGAAAGACGGUUUUGCUGUCACUUAUAGAUGGAUCCGCGCCGCAUUAGCUAGUUGGUAAGGUAACGGCUUACCAAGGCAACGAUGCGUAGCCGACCUGAGAGGGUGAUCGGCCACACUGGAACUGAGACACGGUCCAGACUCCUACGGGAGGCAGCAGUAGGGAAUCUUCCGCAAUGGGCGAAAGCCUGACGGAGCAACGCCGCGUGAGUGAAGAAGGUCUUCGGAUCGUAAAACUCUGUUAUUAGGGAAGAACAAAUGUGUAAGUAACUAUGCACGUCUUGGCGGUACCUAAUCAGAAAGCCACGGCUAACUACGUG
RNAcentral lists this ribosomal RNA (497 nucleotides) under uncultured bacterium. Its description in RNAcentral is "partial 16S ribosomal RNA". It matches the Rfam family "Bacterial small subunit ribosomal RNA", at positions 28 to 507 of the family's 1533-position model. The record is from RNAcentral.